Molecule: ribosomal RNA, 370 nt
Filed under: uncultured organism
Description: partial 16S ribosomal RNA
Rfam family: Bacterial small subunit ribosomal RNA
Source: RNAcentral
GAACCGUACGAACGUUAUUCGGAAUUACUGGGCUUAAAGGGUGCGUAGGCUGCACGGAAAGUUGGGUGUGAAAGCCCUCAGCUCAACUGAGGAAUUGCAUCCAAAACUGCCGUGCUUGAGGGAGACAGAGGUGAGCGGAACUCAAGGUGGAGCGGUGAAAUGCGUUGAUAUCUUGAGGAACACCGGUGGCGAAAGCGGCUCACUGGGUCUCUUCUGACGCUGAGGCACGAAAGCUAAGGUAGCAAACGGGAUUAGAUACCCCGGUAGUCUUAGCUGUAAACGAUGAGCACUUGAUUGGAGGGUCCUCCAUAGCCUUCCAGUCGUAGCGAAAGUGUUAAGUGCUCCGCCUGGGAGUAUGGUCGCAAGGCUG